GAUGAACGCUGGCGGCGUGCCUAAUACAUGCAAGUCGAGCGAACAGACGAGGAGCUUGCUCCUCUGACGUUAGCGGCGGACGGGUGAGUAACACGUGGAUAACCUACCUAUAAGACUGGGAUAACUUCGGGAAACCGGAGCUAAUACCGGAUAAUAUAUUGAACCGCAUGGUUCAAUAGUGAAAGACGGUUUUGCUGUCACUUAUAGAUGGAUCCGCGCCGCAUUAGCUAGUUGGUAAGGCAACGGCUUGCCAAGGCAACGAUGCGUAGCCGACCUGAGAGGGUGAUCGGCCACACUGGAACUGAGACACGGUCCAGACUCCUACGGGAGGCAGCAGUAGGGAAUCUUCCGCAAUGGGCGAAAGCCUGACGGAGCAACGCCGCGUGAGUGAUGAAGGUCUUCGGAUCGUAAAACUCUGUUAUUAGGGAAGAACAAAUGUGUAAGUAACUAUGCACGUCUUGACGGUACCUAAUCAGAAAGCCACGGCUAACUACGUG
This 497-nucleotide ribosomal RNA is filed under the name uncultured bacterium. RNAcentral describes it as "partial 16S ribosomal RNA". It matches the Rfam family "Bacterial small subunit ribosomal RNA", at positions 28 to 507 of the family's 1533-position model. The record is from RNAcentral.